UGCUAAAUACAAAAAACCUGGCUAAAUCAGAAACCUGUUGUAUACUGCUAAUUUAUUUGCAAUAUAUCUAUUGUGUGUGCACAGUCCACAACAAACUAAUGGCAAACCUGUAGCUGGUCGCCCCUCCUCUGGAGAAAGUAGGUCUCGCAAGUCUGAGAGCUGCGGACUGAGGCGGACUUUCUCUGCGCAUUUAGCGGAGCGGCCCAAGCACAUUCCAACUUCUGCCAUGGACAUUCCUAAGAGGUGAGACCUAAGAACAAAUAUGUAAAGGCUUAAUGAGCAACCACUUCUAUCAAAACCAAAGCUAACUUGAAGAAAACCAACCCAACCUCUACCUAUUGGAGAAACCACAUUUUUUUAGGAAAUGGUCUCUCAAGGGAGGUUCAAUUGUAUUCUAAAUUUUUCCCGCAUUCUAUAUGGAUUCAAGCCAAAAUGACAGAAAUUCCCAGAUGUAAAUGCAAUGGGGCUUACUUUGGAUGAGUUAGCUCUACUUGAAUUGUAUUUGAGAUUCAGAACCAGAAAAUCCUGGUCCUAAAUUAAAAUUAUCCUUGAAUCCAUUAACUCUUAAAUGGAGAAUUGACUGUAUUGGAAAUAUCAUUUUACCAUCAUUUUAGGUUAAUGUGUUGGAAAUGUCUGUCAUUGUUUGACCAAUUUCUAAGUACCUUUUAUUAACUAAAUAUUUAACUAUGUAAUUCUCUCUCUAUAGAGAAAUGAAACAUGUAUGUGACAAAUGGCACAGGUUUCAAGUACAUGUACACUAAGUAAUGGUUAAGGCAGGGUCUGAUCACUUCUUUCAAUUGAUCUUCCACAUUCACUCUACCAACAUCACUUGGAGCCAGGGUUGUAUGUUGUUGUGUAACCAACUUAGGACCUUACUAUGUUGCAACAAAGUUGUUGUUAAACACAAGGUGAAAAGACCAAAUCCAAAUAAAUAAAUAGUGUGUGAUGUUUCGGUAACAGCUUUGUUACCAUCUUCAGGCACUUAUUACCUUGUAUUUAUAAUCUAUAAUCCAAAUUGUACCUUAUCAAAGUUGCUGUUAUAAUGUAUGCCAUUUCAAAAAAGGAUAAGACACUGCAACCAUUUUUAUUUGCUUGGUUAAAGAAGCUUUCUGGCAAUCCCUUCUUCAGCUAACUUAAAACAUAUAAACAAGGUAUUGGAGAUACAAGGUAAUAAGACCAAAUCCAAAUAAAUAAUUAGUGUGUGACGUUUCGGUAACAGCGUUGUUACCAUCUUCAGACAAAAGUACUGAAUGGCCAGUACUAAAUACCAUUCAGUACUUUUGUCUGAAGAUGGUAAUAACUCUGUUACCGAAACGUCACACACUAUUUAUUUAUUUGGAUUUGGUCUUAUUACCUUGUGUUUAUAAUCUACUAGACGAAUGACCCGGCUUCGCCUGGGAAUUCCCCCGAGUGCAAUUUCCUUCAUUCUGAAAGAACAUUACUAAUAAAUAGUAUUAGAGCCAUAGAAUAGCAACACCGAAGUACAUAAUACAUUAUCACAGGCAAAAAGUAUGUGUGAUGUCAAAAAAUGCAAUAUAUUAGUAUUUAGGUAUUUUAUUAUUUAUUUUUCAAUCCAUUUAGGUGUUUUAAAUAUAGUUCAAAUAGUUGGCAGAUUUUCCACCCAACCUCCGAGGUACCCGCCCCAGCGUGUUAACUCUUAUAUAUAGUGGUGCAUCCUCUGUAGGUCUAUUACACUCUUUGGGUAAAAAGGGAUAGGGAUUGAAAUUGCUUGAGAAGAGUGACCGUGAUUGGCCAAGCCUGGCCAGCAGCCUGUAAUCUAAUGUUUUCAGACCCCAGUCAAACAUUCGUAGAUGUUUUUCUGAAAAAAAAAAAAAAAAACUAAUAUUAAUGUAAAUCAUAAUAAUCUGCAACUGUCCUUGAAUAUUCUAAUUCUAGAGAUGUUACCUUUCAAAUAUAUACGUAUAUAGAAAGAAUUAUGAAAAUAAUAUACCACUCAAACAACAAAAAAAAAAAAAGACUAAAAUAGCAUUUUAAAAAAUGUAUUCAUGACAACACAGAAGAAUACACAAAAUUUGAAGUCUUAUUUUCUGGAGCCAAAACAUAAAGAUUUCUUCCUGAGCCAACUCUAGAGCAGGCAACAUACAAUUGCCCAUGCGAGAAACAGGGUUGCUCCAAGUCAAUGCCAGCAAUUUUGAGGGACUGACCUUGAGCCUUGUUAAUCGACAUGGCAAAAGAAACUCGAAUGUGGAACUGCAAUCUUCUAAAAUGCAAAGGAGAAUGUUUAUCAUCAUGAAUCAGUGAAAACUCUAACUCUUUUAACAAAAGAAAAGCCACCUUCCUCAGGCCUGUGACGUUUGUACAAUGGGUAGCCAUCCCUAUCUGUCUGCGUUUCAGCCAAGAGUAGCCGUGGAUAUUUCUUUUGGCAUCUACCCGUUCCAUGCAGCCAGGAUUAGGAUACCCAUGUCCACAUGGCCCAUGAAUCAUAUUUUUGGUUACAGUCCGAAACAGUGAAGCAUCAACCUCCUCAUUGGGGAUUUCAGCACAAAUGAUCGAAUCAAUCUGGUUUGGGCGAAUCUUUUCUUUAAGCCACAAUAAAAUAUGCGCAUGUGGUAGCCCUCGCUUUUGCCAUUCAAUGGUAUAACACCAACAUUGGGGCUUGCCAAAAACAUCGCCCUUGGUGAUCAAAUCUAUAAGCUUGGUAACUUUCAAUUGAAAAAUGCGAGCAACCAAGUCAUGCCGAACAAAUGCACCUUGGGUGGGGAAUUGCAUUAGUUUUAUCUCAGGCCACUCAGGAUUGCAUGUAAAUGUAAUAAAAAGGCCUGGGCGACCAUAUUUACGGACGUAAGCCAUGCAAUCCUGGGCAUACUCAUGCAUGUGCCUUGGACUGCCCACAAAGGAAGAAUAACUUGUCUUCCAAUAAGGGCAUGACUCCUGUCAGUUCGAAUAGCUUCUAACAGAUUGAUGUAUUCGGUUGAACGAAGUUGAGCUUGAUGCGCUGAGAUGUAAUGCAGCCUUUCAGAUUCCACCUUGGCAUAAAUGUCGACCAGAAUUUGAUGGGUCAAAUCUCCAAAAGCCAGUAACCAAUUUGUUAUGCCAGGAUUACGGCUACGAAUCAUUAGCAGUGAAGCAUAAAAAUCCAUGCAAGAAACCGUCUUGUGCGCCGAAGGAACCCCAUCAAUCAGCUGAGGGAUAUGGAAAUGAUAACCAUCUUGACCAUUCCAAAAAACCAAUGCGUAUUGCAGGGCCUCAUAAGACCUGUGAAACUCGUUAAUCCUCUGCACACCACUGCCUCUUUUGGAAAGAACAAUGUCACGUCUGUCACAGUUUUCCUGCACAAUAACAAUUGCAACCUCAUUAAUGCUUGGAGCAUUGAAUGUGCGAGGAUGGUGUCCAGGCGGUGCUUUGUCAGCCUUAAUGACCAACUUGUAAUCAGGAGAAAGCAUUUUUUCAAUGGAAGCUUUGAACAAAUGGAUAUAAGGAUUAUGUUGAUGCAACAUAUCUUGCAAAAUGCUAACAAUGUGGGGCUUAGUGAUGGGAAAGUUUCUAUGGCGGGUGGCAACCUCUGCACUACUAUCUCCGAUGAAGAAAACCUGAAGGAAUGCUGGCUGUAGUUGGCGGCUAUCAGAGUUGAGUGGUGGCAAAACAGAGCCAAUUCUAUGAUAGACCUGGCCUUGGACCUUAAACGUUGGCAUGUAACCUGGCAACACAACCCGACUACCACACCCAAAAGAUGUCAUUUGGAAGGCAUUGUUAUAGCCGAGUGAGAAGAAGACCCAUCGAGCAGAGUUCUGAGAGCUUCUGGGGGUUCAGGUAAAUCAGGAAUUCUGACCUUCCCUGCAGAACAGCACAUUCCAGGCCGCUCACCAUUGUACUUAAAGGCAGUACAAUGUAGACAUUGUUUAUCCAUAUGGCCAAUCUGAAGAAAGGUAAAUUGUUCAUAAUUCAGGGCAGGAUUGUAAUGGAAAGCAGCAUUGAGCAUAUCAGCCCAAGUGCUAGCUCGUUGCCUGAAGUGCCGCAAGCGGUCAGCCUCCUGUCGUGUUUGGGACUGCUGGGGAGUCUCUGAUGCGCGUUGAACUCUGUGGCGCUGCUGGUCACUUUGGAGGCGAGCUUGAGACUGUUGGGGAUUCUCCAAUGUGCUGCUACUUUGGCCUCUAGUAGCUCGGGCAGCCAUGCGUCGAGCUGCAGGAGUUCUUACUCCAAUUGCAGAUCUUUUGCGAGGCAUAUCAAAUGGGAUGAUUAAAUUUGAAAAUAUGUCCUAAAAAAACAGAAAUAGCACAAUCAGUACCAAAAAUAUUUUUGUAUAUAAAAAAAAAAAAAAGCUUUUAAGGAAAACAGUGUAGACCCAAAACAAAUCCAAAGUAUCAGAAUAAGUUACAGAACAAAACUGAUUAUCUAGUAGAAAAGGCAGAAGUAUGUUGGAAAUAUAUAUAGAUAGGGAGAUGGGGCGCACUCAACUAUAGGGGAAAAAAGCAUACUACCCAUCUUAUCAAUAAGGUCUGCCUUUUUAAUAAUAAUAUUAUCUCAUAUUCAAAGAAAAGUAACAAAACAAAGGCCAUCACAACAAUAACUAAACAUUGUCCACACAUAGCAUCAUUAAGUUUGUAAAUAUCAAAACAACAUUGUUCACUAACCAUAACUUGGUAACUAAAACAAAUUUCUCUCUCAACAUUUCAGCAGAAAAAAAAUAAGGCUAAAAAAACGAAUGUAAUGGCAAAACAUGUCAAACAGGUCAAUCUUUAGAAUGCUCAACUAUUUUUUUUUCCCUAGCCUAAUAUCUGCGUAGACAAAAAGAAAGCAGCAUAAUAGAACUACCACAAACAAAAUAUACAGAAAUGGCAAGCGAAUAAAAUAGUAAAAUAAUUGGAAGGGUGAGGAGAGACAGGCUCUCUAAUAUAAUUCCCCAUCUCUCUCAGUAAGAAAAAAAAAUAUAUAUAGGCUUAUAAAAAUGCAAGCCAAAAUACAGUCAUGUUAAUAAAUGUUCAAUAAAAAUAAAAGGGCACAUGGAACUUAGGCAAAUAUAUGACAACAACAGACUAAAUUUUGAACUAUCAAUGAAACAUAUGAUUUUUUUAAAAAGAAUAACAAAACAAAGGCCAUUACAACAAUGACAAAACAUAAGCCCAUUGUUUACAUACAGUAAUAAAAGUUUGUAAAUAUUGUCAAAUCUGCAUUGUUUACUAACUGUAACUUUGUAAAAUGUAGUGCCCUAUCACACAACAUGUCAGAAAAAAAUAAUAAUACUAAAAAAAAACUAAUGCCAAAAUAGCCAUGUUAAUAUUUUAGGCUGAUAAAAACCAAAGGGUAUAUGGAUUAUAGACAAACACAUGUUUUGGCUGUUAAAUGAGACAGUAAUUCAUAUUAAAUUUUCACUACUGUAUUUUUUGCAUAUUGACUAUUGUUUGUUUAAUUUUAAGAAUUAUAUAUCAUAUUGACUGUAAAAAAAAAAACAAAGGCCAGAACAAAAAUUAAUAAAAAUAAGAAAGCCAUUGUUUACAUACAGUAACGUUAAUUUUGUAAAGUUUUUUUUUUAAAUUGCAUUGUGUGAACUUACCGUAACUUAGUAAUAUAAAUUUCUCUCUCAAUACUUUUUGUAAAAAAAGGGACACUCGUAUAAAAAGAUAUUUAAAAAAAAGUACGCAAGCAACUUGAAAAGAAAUGCAGAACGCUCACUGGUCGCUUAAUUGGCCUCGUGUUGUUAUUCUGCCUCUUAUUUACUCUGCGUAAAAAAAAAGUUCAUCAAAUAAAAAAAAGAAAUAGCCAAAAAUACUAAGCAAAAUGUAGCCGAAAAUUUUCCUCAGGUUUAUAAAAAGCGACAUGCAAAAUUUGGUACCAAUUGGUUCAGUAGUUUUUGAGUUUAUCGUGAAACAGACAGACAUUGACUUUUAUAUAUAUAGAGAUAAUCCAAAUUGUGCCUUAUCAAGGUAAUGGAGAGAGUCUCUCCAGUUAGCUGAAGAAUGGCUUGCCUGAAAGCUUCUUUAACCAAGUAAUUAAAAAGAGUUGCAGUGUCUUAUACUUUUUUGUAAUUUGUUGAAAUCCGUAAUCCUGUGGUAAUGAAUGUAUGUCAUUGCUUACAUCACCAGAAGUAUAUUUGGUUACCUUCCACCUAGUAGCAUAUAUAUUGUAACCAUAAUUAUAACAAUAUUGUGGUCACAGAGGCAGUCUUUCUCCUCAUGUAAGUACUGGCAGUUACUGCUGUUUGCUGACUUCCAGUCUAGAUCUACUGUCUUCUGAACAGUUUAGGAGUGAGCAACACUAUGCACUAUGCAUCUUUAAUUGCAUCUUUCUAUAUCCUAGGAAUGGUGAAGACCAUUGAUAAAUCAACACUUGUCAAAGGUAUAGUCGGUCUCGCUCCUUUACUUGCUUAAAUAUCUUGAUUGAAUGUUAGAGUGAGUGUGUAAUGCUUCCCACUGUGGCCAGGUUGCCCUCCCCCAAGAUGGAGACAGUCUCGCCGCUGGGCGGCAGCAGCAGUCCAAGCUACUCUGCCACGGACCAUACCCCGCCCUCCCGUAGGUCCCCAGUGUGGGUGGAAGAGUUCCGGCUCCAUCCCCCGGACCGGGCCAUCACCAGUUUUGCUGACCUCUCAAAGAACAGGGGCACCAAUGCCUUGAACCUGGUGUCCUAUGCUCCCUGUGACCAAGCUGUGAUACAAGACCUCAGGCCUAGGUGUGAGGAUCAAGGAGAUGUGGACCAGUUGACUGUUGGAAUCCAACGGUUGCAGCCGGGCGGACACUUCUACCUACACAACAACGAACAGCCCCAAUGGGGCCAGCCCUACCCUCCCCCACAAUUCCUGCACUACCCUCAGCCCUACCCUGCCACCCAGCCAGCUGGGUUCUCCCUGCACCCCAUGCCCGGACCCUACUACAACAACCUCUAUCACCCUCCCCUCACGUAUAGCAGUCCGCCGCAGCAUCUGCAGCAGGAGUCUCUGCCGCCAUCUCAGCCCGCCGCGCGGGUAUCAGUGCCUGAUGAUGAGGAAGAAGCCCGGGAAGAAGAAGAAGAAGCCCCUCUGCCCCCCUCCAAGCCUGUGCUGGGGAAGACAUUCAGGGUGACCCGGCCCAAAGUCCUCACUCCCUCCCCACCUGCCCCACAGCCAGAGACCCCGUCUCCCAGCAGUGAGGACAAGGGCUUCUAUGUAGCCCUAGAAGAUGGGGAAGUCCCCAGGAAGCCCAAACCCAAACUGAAGCCCAAGAACCUCAAAGUACGGUCCCAGCAGUCCCCCCAGUCUGAGCAGCCUCCUCCCCUGCCCAGGACUCCUUCCACCAACAGCCUUGUCUCCUCGCCGGACGAGGGGCGAGGUUUCAUGGUGGGAGCGGACCUGGUCCAGCCCAAUCCGGUAAGUCUCUACCAACCAAAACACCCUUUUUGGGCUCAAGGAGCAUGGACUCAUGGAAUUUGUGUAAUCUUUGCUCAAGGUGAUAAGAAACAACAACCAACACACCCUUUUUGGUAUCUCUCCUACUGUACACAUGAUAGUGGGUUGGUUGCCACUGUAAAUUCAACAAACACACAACAGUGGAACUCAUUAUAAGAGCACCUUGCAACUAGGUUACAACAACAGUUCAACUACACAGGUAGAAAGGACUUUGCACCUGCAGAGUUGCCAGGACCUCGCCAUGUCAAAACUCUUCUCCUUAUAUGACAGAAUGUUAAAGCUUCAUUUAGAUUAGUUAUCCCAAUGCAAUUCUCAACCUGCAACCCCAAAACACAUUAUUGACUGUAUUGACUCAUCCAUUGAUGAGCUCUACUCAUCCCCAGCAAACACCAUCAAAAGUCUCAAGCUUUACAAGCUUGACACCCUAAUAUGAUUGAGUGGAGAUAAGAAAGAAGAAGAGUUAUCCCAAUUGAGAUAUGUAAGAAGGAGCAUACAAAAAAAAAGCCAAAUUCAGAACAAGAGCAGAUUUAGCAAACAUAGUAUUACUCUGUGUGUAUUUUUACCUUUAGGAAAGGGUUAAGACAAACAAACCUUCAUUGUGUUCGACUAUCUCA
RNAcentral lists this non-coding RNA (7950 nucleotides) under Cordylochernes scorpioides. The record is from RNAcentral. Lineage: Eukaryota; Metazoa; Arthropoda; Arachnida; Pseudoscorpiones; Chernetidae.